This 419-nucleotide long non-coding RNA is filed under the name Mytilus galloprovincialis (Mediterranean mussel). The record is from RNAcentral. Lineage: Eukaryota; Metazoa; Mollusca; Bivalvia; Mytilida; Mytilidae.
AUUGGAUUGGAUUUUACACUGUAAAAUUGUCCUGGCAAUGCAAUUGAGCGGUUUGAUGACAAGUAGAUAAAUAUAGGAAGAUGUGGUAUGAGUUACAAUGGUAAAACUCUCCAUCCAAGUCACAGUUUAUAAAAGUAAACCAUUCUAGGUCAAAGCACGGCCUUCGACACGGAGCCUUCGCUCGCACCGAACAGCAAGAUAUAAAGGGCCCCCAAAAAACUUUACUAGUGUAAACCAUUCAAACAGGAAAACCAACAGUCUAAUCUAAAUAUAAAAACAAGAAUCGAAAACACUUACAAGCCACAUCAACAAACGACAAUCACUGAACAUCGGGUUCCUGAUUUAGGACAGAUGCAAACAAAUGCAGCGGGUUUUAGGUGGUAUUGGUGUCUUUUGCCAUCUUAGAUCGUAAAUAACAG